UUACACAUGCAAGUCGAGCGGCAGCGCGGGGGCAACCCUGGCGGCGAGCGGCGAACGGGUGAGUAAUGCAUCGGAACGUGUCCUCUUGUGGGGGAUAACCAGCCGAAAGACUGGCUAAUACCGCAUGAGAUCGAGAGAUGAAAGCAGGGGACCCGCAAGGGCCUUGCGCGAGAGGAGCGGCCGAUGCCGGAUUAGCUAGUUGGCGGGGUAACGGCCCACCAAGGCGACGAUCCGUAGCUGGUCUGAGAGGACGACCAGCCACACUGGGACUGAGACACGGCCCAGACUCCUACGGGAGGCAGCAGUGGGGAAUUUUGGACAAUGGGGGCAACCCUGAUCCAGCCAUGCCGCGUGUGUGAAGAAGGCCUUCGGGUUGUAAAGCACUUUCGGACGGAACGAAAUUGCGCGGGUGAAUAUCCCGCGUAGAUGACGGUACCGUAAGAAGAAGCACCGGCUAACUACGUGCCAGCAGCCGCGGUAAUACGUUGGGUGCGAGCGUUAAUCGGAAUUACUGGCGUAAAGUGUGCGCA
Molecule: ribosomal RNA, 530 nt
Filed under: uncultured soil bacterium
Lineage: Bacteria
Description: bacterial SSU rRNA
Rfam family: Bacterial small subunit ribosomal RNA
Source: RNAcentral